UACGGGGGGAGCAAGCGUUGUUCGGAUUUAUUGGGCGUAAAGAGCGCGUAGGCGGUCCGAUAAGUCGGCUGUGAAAGUCAGGGGCUCAACCCUUGGAAGCCGGCCGAUACUGUCGGACUAGAGUCCGGAAGAGGCGAGUGGAAUUCCCGGUGUAGCGGUGAAAUGCGCAGAUAUCGGGAGGAACACCAAUGGCGAAGGCAGCUCGCUGGGACGGUACUGACGCUGAGGCGCGAAAGCGUGGGGAGCAAACAGG
Molecule: ribosomal RNA, 253 nt
Filed under: uncultured bacterium
Lineage: Bacteria
Description: partial 16S ribosomal RNA
Rfam family: Bacterial small subunit ribosomal RNA
Source: RNAcentral